Salarias fasciatus (jewelled blenny) is the source of this 169-nucleotide long non-coding RNA. RefSeq lists it as uncharacterized. The transcript is spliced from 3 exons. NCBI's taxonomy places the organism in Eukaryota, Metazoa, Chordata, Actinopteri, Blenniiformes, Blenniidae. The record is from RefSeq and is a predicted model, not a curated record.
UUUGAUGUAUCUUCAUGAAGAUGAGCAUGCAGCAGACCAAGAUGGAUGGUUUAAGCCAAAAUUGGAUGCAUUUGAAAGCUUUAUGAGGAAAGCUUACACAUGGAUUAAGGACACUGAAAGUGGUGAAGAAGCUCUACCAGUGUGUGAUGAUGAGCUCGACCACCACAUG